CCGCAUUCGGGAGGAAAACCGUCCACGCGAUAUCGCCGCACCGCAAAACUGAAAUAAAUCAUACGUCCCGGGAGCAAAACGCGAUCGUCCUGUUAUAUGCAGGCACGUUUGUAGGCUUUUUUCGGCGCGGUAAAAAUUCCACUCGAUAUUUCCCGACCUCGAAACGAAAGACGUCACGCGAUCAAAACGGCGACGGGCGUAAAAAGUUCGCGUCCGAAAUCGUAUUUCUCGUUUUUCGUCAAAAAUCCGUCUGUAAAAUAAAUUACCUACCUGUAUUUAUAAUACAACCGCGUGUAUAUAUUUACUUGUUCGCUUCUCAGUCGUAUGUCGUGUAUGUUAUAUUAUACUGUAUAUUUACGAAAUCCGUUAUAUUAUUGUUUGAAAAAGCUACGAGUCAGAAUUAUACUAUUACGCAAUUAUAAUAAUAAUAUUAUUCGAUUUACCUUUAAAUAUUUAUACUGUCAAACGCACUGUUUAUCUAAAAAAUUUUAAUUUAUUCAUCUGUUUUUUU
This is a non-coding RNA of Cinara cedri, 511 nucleotides long. The record is from the annotation of a GenBank genome assembly. NCBI's taxonomy places the organism in Eukaryota, Metazoa, Arthropoda, Insecta, Hemiptera, Aphididae.